UGGGGAAUUUUGGACAAUGGGCGAAAGCCUGAUCCAGCCAUGCCGCGUGAGUGAAGAAGGCCUUCGGGUUGUAAAGCUCUUUUAGUCGGAAAGAAAGAGUUGCAAUGAAUAAUUGUGAUUUAUGACGGUACCGACAGAAAAAGCACCGGCUAACUACGUGCCAGCAGCCGCGGUAAUACGUAGGGUGCGAGCGUUAAUCGGAAUUACUGGGCGUAAAGGGUGCGAAGGCGGCCUGGCAAGUCAGAUGUGAAAGCCCCGGGCUUAACCUGGGAAUUGCGUUGGAAGCUACAAGGCUAGAGUGCAGCAGAGGGGAGUGGAAUUCCAUGUGUAGCAGUGAAAUGCGUAGAGAUGUGGAAGAACACCGAUGGCGAAGGCAGCUCCCUGGGUUGACACUGACGCUCAUGCACGAAAGCGUGGGGAGCAAACA
RNAcentral lists this ribosomal RNA (427 nucleotides) under uncultured beta proteobacterium. RNAcentral's name for it is "bacterial SSU rRNA". It matches the Rfam family "Bacterial small subunit ribosomal RNA", at positions 355 to 774 of the family's 1533-position model. Lineage: Bacteria; Pseudomonadati; Pseudomonadota; Betaproteobacteria. The record is from RNAcentral.